CUUAGAGAGUUUGAUCCUAGCUCAGGAUGAACGCUGGCGGCGUGGAUAAGGCAUGCAAGUCGUGCGGUUCUGUUUCCGCAAGGGAACAGAAUAGCGGCGAACGAGUUAGUAACACGUAGGUACUUCCCCCGGAGACGGGCAUAAUUCCGCGAAAGCGGAACUAAUUCCCGAUAGUCCUCGUAAGAGUAAAGGAGCAAUCCGCUCCGGGAAAGGCCUGCGGCCUAUCAGCUAGUUGGUGAGGUAACGGCUCACCAAGGCUAUGACGGGUAGGGGGCGUGAGAGCGCGUUCCCCAACGAUGGGACUGAGAUACGGCCCAUACUCCUACGGGAGGCAGCAGUCGAGAAUAUUGGUCAAUGGGCGAAAGCCUGAACCAGCGACGCCGCGUGCGGGAGGACGCCCUUCGGGGUGUAAACCGCUUUUGCCGUCGAACAAGCCGCAAGGCUGAGCGUAGGCGGCGAAUAAGGGGGUGCUAACUCUGUGCCAGCAGCCGCGGUAAUACAGAGCCCCCAAGCGUUAUCCGGAUUUAUUGGGCGUAAAGGGUCCGUAGGCGGUUAGGCAAGUCUUAGGUUAAAUACCUGAAGCUCAACUUCGGGGGUGCCUGGGAUACUACUUAACUAGAAGGCGUUAGAGGCUGACGGAACGGUCGGUGGAGGGGUGAAAUCCGUUGAUAUCG
RNAcentral lists this ribosomal RNA (674 nucleotides) under Candidatus Wildermuthbacteria bacterium RIFCSPHIGHO2_02_FULL_47_17. Its description in RNAcentral is "bacterial SSU rRNA". It matches the Rfam family "Bacterial small subunit ribosomal RNA", at positions 1 to 699 of the family's 1533-position model. The record is from RNAcentral. Lineage: Bacteria; Candidatus Wildermuthiibacteriota.